RNAcentral lists this transfer RNA (541 nucleotides) under uncultured cyanobacterium. RNAcentral describes it as "partial 16S-23S ribosomal RNA intergenic spacer". The stretch from base 212 to 284 matches the Rfam family "tRNA". Lineage: Bacteria; Bacillati; Cyanobacteriota. The record is from RNAcentral.
CAGGGAGACAACAAAAUGUUUAAUAUUAUUAUUUUGUCACCUUAGGUCGAUCGGUAUCUCACGUUUUUAAUUUAUUAAGAAUUUCAUUUCCUAAGUUUUUCUAGGUCACACCCAUUAUUUUUCCUGGGCCAUUAGCUCAGGUGGUUAGAGCGCACCCCUGAUAAGGGUGAGGUCCCUGGUUCAAGUCCAGGAUGGCCCAUAUCUCUAUGUUGGGGGUAUAGCUCAGUUGGUAGAGCGCCUGCUUUGCAAGCAGGAUGUCAGCGGUUCGAGUCCGCUUACCUCCACUGAUUACCACCUCUGUCAUAAAUUUGUACAAAGGAAAUGUUUUGAGUUGUGAUCAGAUUCUGGACGAAUCUAGCUUCCUAAUGAAAUCAUUAAGAUGCUGGACUCAUCGAACUAAUUUCAUUGUUUUCAGAGAACCUUGACAACUGCAUAGAUUAUUUUUAAAGACAAUAAGCAUCUUUAAUGAUGCAGAUUUAUUAUUUGUGCGAAUGCAUUAAUAACAAUUCUAUUAAGCUGAUGCUUCAAUUUUGAAGUUAUU